GGGGGGGCUCGUCCUUACGUGGUUCUCAACCGCCGAUUGAGAUUUGGAGGGAGACUACGAGACCCAGGCGAAAACGAGUGUGCUAGCGGAGGCUCCGGGGAUGCAGGGUGAUAGGGCCCAGUCUAUGCUCCGGUUGUGUUGUUGGGUGAGCUUCUUCACCCUUCCGGUUGUGCUGUUGGUUCCAGUCUAUGAGCAAUUUUUUUUGUUUAUUACUGUUGACCAGAUGCUCAGAUCUAGCUAGGCUUCCAUAUAGAAUUUUUUAAGCUUUUAAAUUUGUUGUGUGCCUCGGAUAAGUUACUGCAAAUGGGAUUAUUGUUCCUGCUCAGGAGAUGCUCUCUGGCCUGACUAGAGUCAUAGAAAGAUUUUUUGUUGCCAUUCUUAGUUUGUUUGGUACCUUGCUCUUUCCUUGUCAAGAAAGGGAUCAAUUUGUCCUGGAGCUCCUGUCCCCUUUAUAAAGGAGGUUUUUGUUCCUUUGCUUGAUGUGUUUCCCUCCUUUGAAUUGUAGGAUUUUCAAGAUGGGCCUUCCUAUCCAUAAGUUUGUCUUUAUACUGCAUAUUAAUUCACUCUUUUGGGUAGGUAACUAAAGUCCUGUAACUUUACCCCAUCCGAGUUUUGCUUUACAACAACUUGAUUGCUUCUGUAUUUGUGUAGUUUUCUGCAUAUUCGUACAACCCUGAAUGUUGUUCCGUUCCUUAAUAAAUACAUCGCUCUACAGGGUUGAUUAAAGAAGUUAACUCUUCUUCAUAACAGUUUUUCAAAUGCCCUGAUGGGAUGACCCUAAACAUGGAUAGUUUAACUUGGUAUAUCAGCUCAAACACCUGAUCCGCAAAAUGUAGAAAUUAUCUUGACGCAACUAAGGAAGACACUGGGCAGGUAUUUUUUCAUUAUACACUUCACGGUGUAUGCACUAAUUUCUUCUUAGCUAAACAUUGUCGGAGUGGUCACUUUAUUGCAGUGUCUUAUUUUCAGAUCUCAUGUUCCUCAAGAUAAUGGACAAGAAUGCGUUUUUGGUAGUAUGGCACCAUUACAAUAUAUUUUCUACUAUGUCGUUCAUUUGUUAUGCACCAUCUUUAAGGAAGCAUAGAGAAUGUUUGUUUGCCAUUGUUAUAAAUCUGUAUCUGAAUAUUAUUUGUAGAUUUAUGUUUGGAAACACCAAUCACGAUAAUGUUUUUGUGUGUGUAGAAAGAUUUGCAUAUUUCAUAUACUAAUACAGAAAUUGAACAAUUGUAAGAAAUAUGGUUGGAGAUGUCAUGUAAACUGGUAGUUUUCAUAAGAAGAUAAUUGUCAUGUUAUAUGAUAUACUAUUAGGUUAUUUGUAGUACUACUGCAUUUUCUUAUAUAGUUACACUAAUUUAAUGUGUAGGUGACAAGGCGUUGGAUUGGAGCCAUGAUUUACUUAGUAGCUUUAUUGGCUGGCAUCGAACUAUUUGGUGCUACAAUUAUUAGGCUUGCUCUUAGUACUCCUCUAGACAGGGAACGUUGAUGACUCCAUACAGGUAACUCUUUUGAAAUCA
Molecule: long non-coding RNA, 1514 nt
Organism: Triticum aestivum (bread wheat)
Lineage: Eukaryota; Viridiplantae; Streptophyta; Magnoliopsida; Poales; Poaceae
Exons: 2
Source: RefSeq, a predicted model, not a curated record